This 254-nucleotide ribosomal RNA is filed under the name uncultured bacterium. RNAcentral's name for it is "partial 16S ribosomal RNA". It matches the Rfam family "Bacterial small subunit ribosomal RNA", at positions 524 to 776 of the family's 1533-position model. The record is from RNAcentral.
UACGUAGGGUGCGAGCGUUAAUCGGAAUUACUGGGCGUAAAGAGCGCGCAGGCGGUCGUUCAAGUUGCGUGUGAAAGCCCCCGGCUCAACUGGGGAGGGUCACGCGAUACUGAUCGACUCGAAGGCAGGAGAGGGUAGUGGAAUUCCCGGUGUAGUGGUGAAAUGCGUAGAUAUCGGGAGGAACACCAGUGGCGAAGGCGACUACCUGGCCUGUUUCUUGACGCUGAGGCGCGAAAGCUAGGGGAGCAAACGGG